CUGUGUACCCGCGGCUAGACGGAAAGACCCCGUGAACCUUUACUACAGCUUGGCACUGAACAUUGACCCUACAUGUGUAGGAUAGGUGGGAGGCUUUGAAGCACAGUCGCUAGAUUGUGUGGAGCCGUCCUUGAAAUACCACCCUUGUAGUGUUGAUGUUCUAACUUAGGCCCCUAAUCGGGGUUGAGGACAGUGCCUGGUGGGUAGUUUGACUGGGGCGGUCUCCUCCCAAAGAGUAACGGAGGAGCACGAAGGUUGGCUAAGUACGGUCGGACAUCGUACGGUUAGUGUAAUGGUAGAAGCCAGCUUA
Molecule: ribosomal RNA, 310 nt
Filed under: Pseudoalteromonas luteoviolacea
Lineage: Bacteria; Pseudomonadati; Pseudomonadota; Gammaproteobacteria; Alteromonadales; Pseudoalteromonadaceae
Description: bacterial LSU rRNA
Rfam family: Bacterial large subunit ribosomal RNA
Source: RNAcentral